CGGGAAACCGGAGCUAAUACCGGAUAAUAUAUUGAACCGCAUGGUUCAAUAGUGAAAGACGGUUUUGCUGUCACUUAUAGAUGGAUCCGCGCCGCAUUAGCUAGUUGGUAAGGUAACGGCUUACCAAGGCAACGAUGCGUAGCCGACCUGAGAGGGUGAUCGGCCACACUGGAACUGAGACACGGGUCCAGACUCCUACGGGAGGCAGCAGCG
This 213-nucleotide ribosomal RNA is filed under the name uncultured Staphylococcus sp. Its description in RNAcentral is "partial 16S ribosomal RNA". It matches the Rfam family "Bacterial small subunit ribosomal RNA", at positions 150 to 356 of the family's 1533-position model. Lineage: Bacteria; Bacillati; Bacillota; Bacilli; Caryophanales; Staphylococcaceae. The record is from RNAcentral.